UACAGAGGGUGCGAGCGUUAAUCGGAAUUACUGGGCGUAGAGCGCACGUAGUCGGCUUGUCAAGUCGGGUGUGAAAAUCCCCGGGCUCAACCUGGGAGCGGCAUUCGAUACUGGCAAACUGGAGUACGAGAGAGGGGGGUGGAAUUCCAGGUGUAGCGGUGAAAUGCGUAGAUAUCUGGAGGAACACCGGUGGCGAAGGCGGCCCCCUGGCUCGAUACUGACACUGAGGUGCGAAAGCGU
This 240-nucleotide ribosomal RNA is filed under the name uncultured bacterium. Its description in RNAcentral is "partial 16S ribosomal RNA". It matches the Rfam family "Bacterial small subunit ribosomal RNA", at positions 524 to 762 of the family's 1533-position model. The record is from RNAcentral.